RNAcentral lists this ribosomal RNA (465 nucleotides) under uncultured bacterium. RNAcentral describes it as "partial 16S ribosomal RNA". It matches the Rfam family "Bacterial small subunit ribosomal RNA", at positions 338 to 795 of the family's 1533-position model. The record is from RNAcentral.
CCUACGGGAGGCAGCAGUGGGGAAUAUUGCGCAAUGGGCGAAAGCCUGACGCAGCGACGCCGCGUGAGGGAUGAAGGUCUUCGGAUCGUAAACCUCUGUCAGCAGGGAAGAACGGUCACUGUGCUAAUCAGCAGUGAAUUGACGGUACCUGCAACGGAAGCACCGGCUAACUCCGUGCCAGCAGCCUCGGUAAUACGGAGGGUGCGAGCGUUAAUCGGAAUUACUGGGCUUAAAGCGCUCGUAGGCGGUAUGUCAAGUCAAGGGUGAAAUCCCCGCGCGCAACGUGGGAACUGCCUUUGAAACUGGCAAACUGGAGUGUGUGAGAGGAUAGUGGAAUUCCAGGUGUAGGAGUGAAAGCCGUAGAGAUCUGGAGGAACACCAGUGGCGAAGGCGACUAUCUGGCACAUAACUGACGCUGAGGAGCGAAAGCGUGGGUAGCAAACAGGAUUAGAUACCCUAGUAGUC